RNAcentral lists this small RNA (281 nucleotides) under Saimiri boliviensis boliviensis (Bolivian squirrel monkey). RNAcentral's name for it is "7SK RNA (ENSSBOG00000006805.1)". It matches the Rfam family "7SK RNA". From Rfam's summary of the family: 7SK was discovered as an abundant small nuclear RNA in the mid-70s but a possible function has only recently been suggested. Two independent studies have found that 7SK RNA binds the CDK9/cyclin T complex (known as elongation factor P-TEFb). Lineage: Eukaryota; Metazoa; Chordata; Mammalia; Primates; Cebidae. The record is from RNAcentral.
GGAUGAGAGGGCGAUCUGGUUGCGACAUCUGUCACCCCAUUGAUCACCAGGGUUGAUUUGGCUGAUCUGGCUGGCUAGGCGGGUGUCCCCUUCCUCCCUCACUGCUCCAUGUGCAUCCCUCCCGAAGCUGCGUGCUUGGUCGAAGAGGACAACCAUCCCCGACAGAGGAGGACCGGUCUUCAGUCAAGGGUAUACGAGUAGCUGCGCUCCCCUGCUAGAACCUCCAAACAAGCUCUCAAGAAUGCAUGCAACAAAGUUUAUUGCCUUAUUUUAACAGAUUG